Molecule: ribosomal RNA, 467 nt
Filed under: uncultured Allobrachymonas sp.
Lineage: Bacteria; Pseudomonadati; Pseudomonadota; Betaproteobacteria; Burkholderiales; Comamonadaceae
Description: bacterial SSU rRNA
Rfam family: Bacterial small subunit ribosomal RNA
Source: RNAcentral
UUGACGGGGACCCGCACAAGCGGUGGAUGAUGUGGUUUAAUUCGAUGCAACGCGAAAACCUUACCCACCUUUGACAUGGCAGGAAUCCCGAAGAGAUUUGGGAGUGCUCGAAAGAGAACCUGCACACAGGUGCUGCAUGGCUGUCGUCAGCUCGUGUCGUGAGAUGUUGGGUUAAGUCCCGCAACGAGCGCAACCCUUGCCAUUAGUUGCUACGAAAGGGCACUCUAAUGGGACUGCCGGUGACAAACCGGAGGAAGGUGGGGAUGACGUCAAGUCCUCAUGGCCCUUAUAGGUGGGGCUACACACGUCAUACAAUGGCCGGUACAGAGGGUAGCCAACCCGCGAGGGGGAGCCAAUCCCACAAAGCCGGUCGUAGUCCGGAUCGCAGUCUGCAACUCGACUGCGUGAAGUCGGAAUCGCUAGUAAUCGCGGAUCAGCAUGUCGCGGUGAAUACGUUCCCGGGUCUU